CCUACGGGAGGCAGCAGUGAGGAAUAUUGGUCAAUGGGCGUAAGCCUGAACCAGCCAAGUCGCGUGAGGGAUGAAGGUUCUAUGGAUCGUAAACCUCUUUUGUAGGGGAAUAAAGUGCGGGACGUGUCCCGUUUUGAGUGUACCCUAUGAAUAAGCAUCGGCUAACUCCGUGCCAGCAGCCGCGGUAAUACGGAGGAUGCGAGCGUUAUCCGGAUUUAUUGGGUUUAACGGGUGCGUAGGCGGCCGUUUAAGUCAGCGGUUAAAUUCUGUGGCUCAACCCUCGCAUUGCCGUUGAAACUGGGUGUCUAGAGUUGGUGUGAGGCAGGCGGAAUGCGUGGUGUAGCGGUGAAAUGCUUAGAUAUCACGAAGAACCCCGAUUGCGAAGGCAGCAUGCCGAGUCAUUACUGACGCUGAUGCACGAAAGCGUGGGGAUCAAACAGGAUUAGAUACCCCUGUAGUC
RNAcentral lists this ribosomal RNA (460 nucleotides) under uncultured bacterium. Its description in RNAcentral is "partial 16S ribosomal RNA". It matches the Rfam family "Bacterial small subunit ribosomal RNA", at positions 338 to 795 of the family's 1533-position model. The record is from RNAcentral.